CAGCCCUAAACGAUGCGCGUUAGGUGUAUCGGUGACCACGAGUCACCGAGGUGCCGAAGGGAAACCGUGAAACGUGCCGCCUGGGAAGUACGGUCGCAAGGCUGAAACUUAAAGGAAUUGGCGGGGGAGGCACCACAACGGGUGGAGCCUGCGGUUUAAUUUGGACUCAACGCCGGGAAGCUCACCGGAUAAGACAGCGGAAUGAUUGCCGGGCUGAAGACCCUGCAUGACCAGCUGAGAGGAGGUGCAUGGCGUAGUCGUGU
RNAcentral lists this ribosomal RNA (263 nucleotides) under uncultured archaeon. Its description in RNAcentral is "partial 16S ribosomal RNA". It matches the Rfam family "Archaeal small subunit ribosomal RNA", at positions 748 to 1009 of the family's 1478-position model. The record is from RNAcentral.